UCCACCUCCUUUUUCGUAGAACGGGAAAAAGAAAUUCAUCUGCCUCUCAAUUUUAUUUUUUAAUCUAUUUUUUAGGGUUUGCUUGUGCAGAUUAGAAGUAAGAACCAUGUAUUCGAUCCACCACUUAUUGCUUCAACUUCAGUUCAAUCUUCAACGCCGCCCUUAAAUCUAAAUCCUUCAAUCUCAUACCCGAUGUUCGUCUUGGUUUGACCUCUAUCCACCGAUCGCCUCCCAUCGCAGCUCCACCUCCGGUAAUCGUCAUAGGCCAACAGCCUGCCGCCUGCCGCCUGACGACUGCCUUCUAUCUCAGCCUCCGCCUACCGCUGCUUACCUCCUUAUUAGACUCCUAAAGGACAUCGUUCACCGCCAAACCCGCCGCAACAACAGACCUCGAAUCCUCUGUCGCCGACUGCUUCAUUGUCUAUGCUACCGAAGCUGACUAGGUCAGCUUACCGUUCUAUAUGUUGUUUUCUCAUGGCUCAAUUGUUAGGCCUCAUGUGUCGGUUAGGGUUCAUUUUAUUGCUAAAUUGAACCCUUCUCCUUAUUACUUUGGGUUGGAUAGAGCUUCUGAAGAUCCUUACGACAGAGUGAAUAAUCCCAACGGUGUUGUUUAGCUUGGAUUGGCAGAAAAUCGGGUAUGAGAAGGGAGCUGACAUUUCAGGAGAGUAGAUCUUUAUGAUUAUAUUCUUGAGAAUCCAACCAUAUAUCGAUUUCAUGUUGCUCUCCACUUCAACAAAUUUGGUGGUGCUUUCAUUUAUGAUCUUAGUAGUACACAUGGAACAUUUAUAAACAAGAACCAGUAAUUAGGUGAAGAAAAAGGUGUAUAUGGAGCUCCAUGUUGGUGAUUUUCGUCGAUUUGGCCAUUCAACUAGGUUUUACAUAUUUCAAGGACCAACUGACUAAAUGCCUUCGGUAAGGCCCUUCAACUAUCUCAUUAACUUGAAGCCUAUUUUAAUUUCAUAUGAUGCCAUGGAAGUUCAUUAACUAUUUCUUGUUUGUUGUAAAAGGAAAAAGACUUACAAAGUGUUAAAGAUCUUAAAAUUUGACAAAAGAAGCAUAACAUGGAAGCUUCACUUCUAUAAGCAAAAAGAGAAGCACCACUUAUUUGAUUUUUUGAUAUUUUUCUUUUUAUAUAUUUUUACAAAAUAAUUAGUAAUUAAUUUAUAAAUUAAUUAUCCAUCUGUAACUAUCUAGCUUUUAGUAACAUGGUUAAAGAAAAUGAGGUUUUUAGGUUUUUAGGUUUUUUUUUUUUUUGAAUAAAAAGCAGAUGUAUAGAUUCUUUUAUGUCUAGUUUAGUUACAUUAUAUCUGGGAAAGUAAUAGAUCAUAGAGUAUUGAUAUUUACAUGUAAUAAAUAUUUUUGUUUUGUUUUAUGAGAUAAAUCUUAUUUGAUUUUUUGAUAUUUUUCUUUUUAUAUAUUUUUACAAAAUAAUUGGGAAUUAAUUUAUAAAUUAAUUAUCCAUCUGUAACUAUCUAGCUUUGCAACAAAAAUAUUCCUACAAAAUUGUGUAUGGAUUGCGCUAUGGAAACGUGGCAACAGAAUUUGUUACGGAAGCAUGUCUACGUAAAUUGCUAUGUAAUCUUUGA
Non-coding RNA from Lactuca sativa (garden lettuce), 1586 nucleotides. NCBI's taxonomy places the organism in Eukaryota, Viridiplantae, Streptophyta, Magnoliopsida, Asterales, Asteraceae. The record is from RefSeq and is a predicted model, not a curated record.